CUCCCGCCCGCACCGAGACAGACGCGCUCCCGGGGUGAGCCGGCUGGCUGGCAGCUGCCACGGGAGGAUUAGUUACCCAGCAGCCACACCGAACAGGGAGACUCGAAUCAUUAGAAGAAUGAAGGUGAUUAACUAACUAGAACAUGAAAGGCAGAACCACAGGAUAUUCAAGCUCCACAACUAAAACUCUUGAAAAAAAAAAGUCAAAGACUCCGGUGCAGGUUUUCCAGACAGCCUGCUCUUCCCGUACAUUAACACAAGUGAGGAUCUUCAACUGUUGCUGGUAUGUUCUCAACUGCCCCUGUUCAAGUUGGGUUCUCAAGUGCAGACUCUUCACAGAAGGCACUUGUGGAUCAGAGACUUGGUUUUCAGCAUUAUACUAUAGAAGAUGUUGGCUAGCACUUUUGAGAAAAAUGCAAGACAAAGGACAAUGAGAUGAACAAUGACAUCUAAUGGGGUGGUGGUGGGCUGUGCUCUAGUGUAAGUGACCUGCAAGUAGCACGUGAUCUGAAGUUUACAGGUACCUUCACAGGUAUAGAUUGGUACAGAUAUAAAUGCCUGGUUCUAAUUCAAUACUUUCAGAAGGAACUCACAUGAAGAGUGAGAGUUUAUAUUACCUAUGAAGAGGUGCUGGUCGUGCAGUGUGGGGGAAGUUCACCAAACCAGCUACCAAUCAACUGUGUCAAAGACAUGCCUAUUGUCAAAUCAAGGAGAGCAAGUUUUUCCUUUGGAUUACCAAAUUGUGUCCAGUCCUGCAAAUUGUUCCAUAUAGGCUGAUGUCUGCACAGAACUCCUUGUUAGACUCAAGGCAUAAAUGCAGAAGUUCAUACAUAGAGGGUAUAUACUUGAACUAUCCUGGGACAAAGAUAACAUUAGCUAACCAAAAAUAAAUGUAUUGAAUGUG
Molecule: long non-coding RNA, 904 nt
Organism: Mauremys reevesii (Reeves's turtle)
Lineage: Eukaryota; Metazoa; Chordata; Testudines; Geoemydidae
Exons: 4
Source: RefSeq, a predicted model, not a curated record